Molecule: ribosomal RNA, 478 nt
Filed under: uncultured bacterium
Lineage: Bacteria
Description: partial 16S ribosomal RNA
Rfam family: Bacterial small subunit ribosomal RNA
Source: RNAcentral
GACGAACGCUGGCGGCGUGCUUAACACAUGCAAGUCGAACGGUAAGGCCCUUCGGGGUACACGAGUGGCGAACGGGUGAGUGACACGUGGGUGAUCUGCCCUGCACUUCGGGGUAAGCCUGGGAAACUGGGUCGAAUGCCGGAGAGGACCACUGCCUGCAUGGGUGGUGGAGGAAAGCGUUUGCGGGGUGGGAGGGGGCCGCGGCCUAUCAGCUUGUUGGUGGGGUGAUGGGCUACCAAGGCGACGACGGGUAGGCGGCCUGAGAGGGUGACCGGCCACACUGGGACUGAGAUACGGCCCAGACUCCUACGGGAGGCAGCAGUGGGGAAUAUUGCACAAUGGGCGCAAGCCUGAUGCAGCGACGCCGCGUGAGGGAUGACGGCCUUCGGGUUGUAAACCUCUUUCAGCACCGACGAAGCGCAAGUGACGGUAGGUGCAGAAGAAGGACCGGCCAACUACGUGCCAGCCGCCGCCGUAA